Molecule: small RNA, 125 nt
Filed under: Marmota monax (woodchuck)
Lineage: Eukaryota; Metazoa; Chordata; Mammalia; Rodentia; Sciuridae
Source: RNAcentral
GCCAGGCAUGGUGGCACACACCUGUAAUCCCAGCAGCUUGGGAGGCUGAGAUAGGAGGAUCAUGAGUUCAAAGCCAGCCUCAGCAACUGUGAGGCUCUAAGCAACUCAGUGAGACCCUAUGUCUA